GAGCGGCAGCACGGGUACUUGUACCUGGUGGCGAGCGGCGGACGGGUGAGUAAUGCCUAGGAAUCUGCCUGGUAGUGGGGGAUAACGCUCGGAAACGGACGCUAAUACCGCAUACGUCCUACGGGAGAAAGCAGGGGACCUUCGGGCCUUGCGCUAUCAGAUGAGCCUAGGUCGGAUUAGCUAGUUGGUGAGGUAAUGGCUCACCAAGGCGACGAUCCGUAACUGGUCUGAGAGGAUGAUCAGUCACACUGGAACUGAGACACGGUCCAGACUCCUACGGGAGGCAGCAGUGGGGAAUAUUGGACAAUGGGCGAAAGCCUGAUCCAGCCAUGCCGCGUGUGUGAAGAAGGUCUUCGGAUUGUAAAGCACUUUAAGUUGGGAGGAAGGGCAGUUACCUAAUACGUAUCUGUUUUGACGUUACCGACAGAAUAAGCACCGGCUAACUCUGUGCCAGCAGCCGCGGUAAUACAGAGGGUGCAAGCGUUAAUCGGAAUUACUGGGCGUAAAGCGCGCGUAUGUGGUUUGUUAAGUUGGAUGUGAAAUCCCCGGGCUCAACCUGGGAACUGCAUUCAAAACUGACAAGCUAGAGUAUGGUAGAGGGUGGUGGAAUUUCCUGUGUAGCGGUGAAAUGCGUAGAUAUAGGAAGGAACACCAGUGGCGAAGGCGACCACCUGGACUGAUACUGACACUGAGGUGCGAAAGCGUGGGGGAGCAAACAGGAUUAGAUACCCUGGUAGUCCACGCCGUAAACGAUGUCAACUAGCCGUUGGGAGCCUUGAGCUUCUUAGUGGCGCAGCUAACGCAUUAAGUUGACCGCCUGGGGGAGUACGGCCGCCAGGGUUAAAACUCAAAGG
Molecule: ribosomal RNA, 854 nt
Filed under: Pseudomonadaceae bacterium
Lineage: Bacteria; Pseudomonadati; Pseudomonadota; Gammaproteobacteria; Pseudomonadales; Pseudomonadaceae
Description: bacterial SSU rRNA
Rfam family: Bacterial small subunit ribosomal RNA
Source: RNAcentral